GGGCGGCGGGGUCCCCGGCCGCGGGCGCCUCGUCCCGGGAGGCGGCGGUGUCCGGUCGCGCCGCGGACCGCUCGGUGCCGUCGUCGACGCCC
Molecule: transfer RNA, 92 nt
Filed under: Kocuria rosea
Lineage: Bacteria; Bacillati; Actinomycetota; Actinomycetes; Micrococcales; Micrococcaceae
Description: tRNA-Gly(ccc)
Source: RNAcentral